UAAGUAAACCACAUUCACGAUUCAUGAAAUCAAGUCAUAUAAAACAUAUGAUCAUGGCUUUGAAUUCCCCUCUAACUAUAAAGAAAUUAGUUCCUCAUGUUCGCAAAUAAACAAAGAUAAAUAAAUUUAAACAUUCUAACAAAGAUAGAAAACACCUAGAAUCGCUCCACAAUCCAAGCUCCUUGAAUGGCAUGCACGGCUCCAAGAGUUCUUCCUUCUUUUCCUUGCAAACUCACGGCACAAUGAGGGAUGUUGGGUGAAUGGUGUAGUGAAAAUAUGGUAGAGGAUGGUGAAUGAAAGGGUGCGGCAAUGGGUUGAAUAUAUAGGCUGAAAAUCCCAUCUCCUAGGUAGCAAAGGACAAGGUUUUAAAGGCCUAAAUUGCAUAGGAUAAUAACAUCCAAUCCUAUAAGGAAAACAAGUCAAAAACCCAAAGGGAUUGGGAGAUAAGGUGCAGCACAAAGAGUGUGAAAUGAUAAGGUUUCUAGAAACCAAAAUCCUAAAGGAAAUAAGGUAGAAAAUUCGGCCCAAAAUGUGAUUUCUAGAAGGAUAAUGCAAGGCAGAUUUUUAGGCUUCUAGAAAGGUUCUUAGGUGUCAUCUUGGUAGGAUAAGAUAAGGUCUUCUAGAAAUCCCAUUUUAAGCAUCCUAAUCUAGUUAGAAACCCUCCUAAGUGGCUGGAAUGUGGAUAGUUUUAGGAUUAGGAUAAGAUAAGAUAGGAUAAGGUUUGUUUGGAUAAGAUAAGCUAAGAUAAGGUUAUGGAUGAGGUUUUGGAUAAGAUUCCUUAUCUUGAGCUGAUUCUUUGGCUUUAAUUCUUCUUCUUCAUGUAGGAAACCUUGCUUGAGUAGGAAACUUCAUACAUCUAGGAAUCCAUCUUCAAUUAGGACUCCUACAUUGAUUAGGAAUCCCAAUUCAUUUAGGAAUUCUCGUUUAAGCCCUUUCCUACUUCAACUAGGAACUUUGUAUCUUCAAUUCUUCAACUUUGAAACGCCUUUCUAGCUUCAUCAAUCCCUCAAAUUCGUCCAUCCCUUGUGCUUCAUGUGCAUGAACUUCAUUCUAGCCCAAUUUUGCUCCAAAAUGCUCCAAAUUGCAUCCUUUUGCUCACUUUGUCUCUAAAACCUGAAAACACAUAAAAAUAGCUUAAAAGACUAACUUAACUAAGAAAACACAACAUAAAUGCAUAAGAACUAACUAACUAAGGCGCAUAAAUAUGCUCCUAUCAAAUUCCCCCACACUUAGCUUUUGCUAGUCCUCGAGCAAAGCAAUGAAACAAAACAUAACCUAAACCUUCCAACAUUUGCCUCAGGGAUUCCCAAUGCACAUGACAUAUUAAAAAUCAUCAUUCCCAUAGAUUUUAGUCAUCUUCACACUUAAGCACAUACUUAAUCAUAGUCACCAUGUACUAGUUCACAUAUAACUGAUGCGGAAUAGAUAUGCACACAAAUUAAACCCUCUUUUUGUCAAAUUGUAGCGAAGAUGUAAGUAGGGAUCGUUCUAGACCGGGGAUUAGGAGGGAUUGCUAAACACUUGGAAACUGACUUAAAAACUCAAAAACAAAGUUUAAAACAUGAUAGGAGCAUAUUUAUGCGCCUUAGUUAGCUAGUUCUUAUGCAUUUUCGUUAUGUUUUCAUAGUUAAAGUAGUCUUUUGAGCUACUUUCAUGUGUUUUCAGGUUCAAAGGGCAUAUGACAUAAAAGAUGGCAAAUUGGAGUUUUUAGAGCCUAAUGGAGCUUGGUGUGAAAAGUACAUGCUUGGAACACAAGGUUGGGAUGAAAUUGAAGAUUUGAAGAUUUUGAGGAUUCCUAGUACGAGAAGGAUUCCUAGUCCGAGGAAGAGUCCUAAUUGACGAAGGAUUCCUAAUCAACGAGGGAUUCCUAGUUGAAGAUGGAUUCCGAGAAGAACGAAGAUUCCUACUCAAACGAGGUUUCCUACUUAAAGUAGGAAAGCUAAGCCUAAAAGUUUCCAUUUUGGGUUGAUCUUUCCUAAACUUAAAUGGCCUUGCGUUUUAGCAACAUUGGAAGGUUCCGAAGCGUUGGAAGACACGAAGAAUGGUUCUAGAACAUUUUCCUCCUUCUUACCGUGGGUUGGGUCUAUUUUCUCUUGGUUUUGGGCUUUCUAGAAGCCCUAUCUACAAACCCUAACCCUUUGCCGCACCUAGGCCUCAAAAGUAUCUGAUUUCCUUGCCUUGCAAGGCUUUCUAGAAGCCUUAACCCUAGCCCACCAAACCUGCCGCACCCUAGGCCUUUUCCCAUGCAAUUUCUGAUUGUUUUAACCUAUUUUCUGGUGGAUUUGGGUUUCUAGAAACCCUAAUCUGAUUGCUAGGGUUUUUAAGUGCCUAUAUAUACUCUUUUAAACCUCUUGGCCGAACCUAUCACCCCCCAUAUCAUUCAUUCACGCCAAAAACCUUAGUUCCAUCCCUGCCGCAACCUUCCACCCCCAACUUCCCAUAUUUCUGCCACAAUCCACCCUUGCCGUGCCUUCCCACCACCAUCACCACCUUGUGCAGCCACCAUUGGAGGAGGAAGAAGUAGUGCCGUGCAGUCCAAAGGAGGGAGAAGCCUUGCACAUGCAAUCUGCCAUUAGUGGAGUGUUUGGAGUUCUUUCUUUCUUUGUUUCUGUUUUCAUGUUUAAUUUAAAUUGUUGUUCAAUUAUGUUAGACAUGUGGAACUAAUUUCUUUUUAGUUAGAGGUGAAUUUGAAGCCAUGGACAUAUGUUUUAUAUGAUUUGAUUUCUUCCAAUUAUGAUUUCAGAAAUUGUGAAUGUGAUUUACUUAUCUAUUUGAUUGAUAACUUGUUUAUGUAUGUGGGUUGAGGGUCGACACUUAAUUUGCAUGCCUAAACUUGAUGCUAGGAUAUAAGGAAUUUCACCUAAUCGUUAUUAACUUGUAUUCAUAAGUAGUGAAGUCGCUAGUCACGAUUGUGUUAAGUAAAUCCUAGGCAAGAGUAACAUGCGUAUCCCAUAGUUAUGAAUGCCUCGUCAAUGCUUUAUGAUUUCCAUUAAACUUAAUGAUCUUUGAUAUGUGUCUCUAUCAUGCGUAUUCCAUAGUUAGGGUCCUUGAUAAGAAUAAUUUGGUUGUAAUGCGUAUUCCAUUCAAUUCAAUGAAUCUAGGGAAAUCUGAAGAAUUAAUUGGUGCAAUCUAGUUAAUUUGGGGCAUUGUCAUUCAUGGUUUGUUCAAAGAGUAAUUGGAGAUCGAGUUGUAUGCAUAUGUUCAUGUGUGGAUAAGGAACCCUCUAACUAGCUUCUCACCAUUCUAUUUAAUCACAAUCUGUGUUGCUUUACAUUUGUUUUUAAAGUCUGAGUUUUAAAGUUUUAAUUUCGUCAAAAUCAUUCCCCCAUUUAUUUUAAAGUGUUAGAUUAGUUAGAAAUCCAAUUAGUUGUGUUUUUAAGUGUUUUGAGUCAAGUCAUAGUCCAAAUUCGUCCAAACUAGUGUUAUAUACUCAAAACUGCCCAGAAAGUGGUUUUAAGGCAGUUUUGAGCCUUUAAGUUGCUGUUUUGAGUUUUGAGUUUGUUUAGGUGUUUUAAACCCUAGUUUUGCAUUAAUUGAGUCUAGUUUAGUGUUCUACAUUAUAUUUUUUAUGUUCUUGAGUCAGUUUCACAUUGAUUAGCAUCCCUAGUUAAUCCCCGGUUAGAACGAUCCCUAUUUGCUCAUAUACUACAAUUGUCAUCCAUAGGGUUUAAUUUGUGUGUCAAGUUAAUUUUCACAUCAAAACACUAAACUAGACUCAAAGAAUGCAAAACUAAAGGUUAAAACACUUAAACAAACCUAAAACUCAAAACAGCAACCUAAUGACUCAAAACUGCCUAAAAACCACUUUCUGGGCAGUUUUGAGAACCUACAAGAACUUGGACGAAAUUGGGUGAAAACUUGAAUCAAAACACUUAGAAACACAAAUCAAAACACUUUCUAACUAUCUAAGACUUCAAAUAAAGGGGAUUUGUUUUGGACGAAAUUGAAAACAAAACAGAACUUAAAACUAAACAGAUUGUAAAACGUUUUUGGAUGAAAAGGAUGGAUAAAAGGCUAGUUAGGAGGUUCUCUCCACACAUGUCACACUUUGCAAACGAAACGAUUUUCAGUUUUCUUCCAUAAUUAUAAAUACUCACGCCCAAAUUAACCGUGAAUUGCACUAAUAACCCUCAGUUUUUCCACAAGUUAUUAGGUUGGAUGAUUGCAACGACAACCCAAAAUUCCCUAAGUUCCCUACAUGAAUUGCAUAAUAGAGAUACAAGCAAGAAUCAUUACGUUCUAUGAAAACAUAAGCAUUUACGAAGCAUUUGUUACUAUGAUUGCAUGAACUUAUCUAAGAAUUCAUUCAACGCGAUCGUUUUCAAGGCGACCUUCACUACUUGUGUAUAGAUUUAAUAUAGGUGAAACUCCCUCAUAAUCAUCAUCAUAUCAUGCUGUGAUAGGGCAUAUUUAUUGCGCCUUAGUUAGCUAGUUCUUAUGCAUUUUCACUAUGUUUUCUUAGUUUAAAUUAGUGUUUUAAGCUACUUUCAUGUGUUUUCAGGUUUAAUGGGAUAUUAAAAGAUGGCAAUUUGGAGUUUUGGAGCAAAAUGAGAGCUUGGAUUGAAAAGUACAUGCUUGGAACACAAGGUUGGGAUGAAAUUGAGAUUUGAAGAUUUGAGGAUUCCUAGUACAAGGUUCCUAGUCCGAGGAAGAGUCCUAAUUGAAGAAGGAUUCCUAAUCAACGAGGGUUCCUAGUUGAAGAUGGAUUCCGAGAAGAACGAAGAUUCCUACUCAAACGAGGUUUCCUACUUGAAGUAGGAAAGCUAAGCCUAAAAGUUUCCAUUUUGGGUUGAUCUUUCCUAAACUUAAAUGGCUAAUUGAAGAAGGAUUCCUAAUCAACGAGGGAUUCCUAGUUGAAGAUGGAUUCCGAGAAGAACGAAGAUUCCUACUCAAACGAGGUUUCCUACUUGAA
RNAcentral lists this long non-coding RNA (4912 nucleotides) under Malus domestica (apple). RNAcentral describes it as "long non-coding RNA (MDOM_LNC020737)". Lineage: Eukaryota; Viridiplantae; Streptophyta; Magnoliopsida; Rosales; Rosaceae. The record is from RNAcentral.